This is a non-coding RNA of Notechis scutatus (mainland tiger snake), 535 nucleotides long. Lineage: Eukaryota; Metazoa; Chordata; Lepidosauria; Squamata; Elapidae. The record is from RefSeq and is a predicted model, not a curated record.
UUGCUUGAACUGGGGGUUGGACUAGAAGACUUCCCUUGAAGUUCUAUUAUUCUGUUAUAUCUGGAGGUUUUCUUAUUGGCUAGGUCUCAUGCUGCUACACCACCUGGACAAUUUCUGACUGGCUAGGUCUCAUGAUGUGCCAUCUAGUGUAUAAUACUUGAAUGUUGAUUUGUGGGAGAAUUCUGAUUCUUAGAUGUCUGCAAAGAUUACAAAAUUCAAAACAUCGUUCUACUCAACAUAUUUCUUGCCAAGUGGAUAUUUGGCUACUCUGAUACUCCUCCAGUACUAUUGUUCAAACUGCCUAUGCAUUGAUACUAAUUGAUUUUGAACACAACAAUUUUCUAGCUUUGUGCUACCCUUUUUAAGGGGUGAUAAUCAGAAAUAUACAUGACAUACCAAGUGUGUUUUCUUCAUAGAUAUAUCCAAAAGUAUUAUUAUACUGGCAGUUAUAUUUUCAAUUCUUUUCCUAACAAAUCCCAAAUAUGCAGUUCACCUGGGCUGAUAUUUUCAUUGAGUUGUUAAUCAAUAUCCCUUU